Oncorhynchus nerka (sockeye salmon) is the source of this 2754-nucleotide non-coding RNA. Lineage: Eukaryota; Metazoa; Chordata; Actinopteri; Salmoniformes; Salmonidae. The record is from the annotation of a RefSeq genome assembly.
CAUCAGGUUUUAGUUUCAACUUCAACAACAUCUCCGCUUUCUAUUUCCACAGGUGUUCAGGGUCAGACACUGACUGAGUCUGGACCAGUAGUUAAAAAGCCUGGAGAAUCCCACCAACUGACCUGUACAGCCUCUGGGUUCACAUUCAGUAGCUACUACAUGGCUUGGAUCAGACAGGCUCCUGGGAAAGGACUGGAGUGGAUUGCUACUAGUUAUAGUACUGCUACAUAUUAUUCCCAGUCAGUCCAGGGUAGAUUCACCAUCUCCAGAGAUGCUCCUGGGAAAGGACUGGAGUGGAUUGCUACUAGUUAUAGUACUACUACAUAUGGUAGAUUCACCAUCUCCAGAGAUGCUCCUGGGAAAGGACUGGAGUGGAUUGCUACUAGUUAUAGUACUGCUACAUAUUAUUCCCAGUCAGUCCAGGGUAGAUUCACCAUCUCCAGAGAUGACUCCAGCAGUAAGCUGUACCUACAGAUGAACAGUCUGAAGAGUGAGGACACAGCAGUGUAUUACUGUGCUAGAGAGUCACAGUGGUAAAACUAAUGGGAGAAGCUGUACAAAAAACAUCUGGAAUAGAAAGGAUGUACUUGCCCAUGUGUAUGCACAAACAUUAGCUGGCCAAUGUUCAGAUACCGUAUCAUCACACAGUGACACAGAGAUAACACACCUGUUAGAUAUGUUGGUAUAGUGUUGUUGAUACAGUACAUAAAGAUAUAUGAAUGAGUGAUGGUACAGAGCGGCAUAGGCAAGAUGCAGUAGAUGGUAUCGAGUACAGUAUUUACAUAUGAGAUGAGUAUGUAAACAAAGUGGCAUAGUUUAAAGUGGCUAGUGGUACAGUACAUGUAUUACAUAAAGAUGCAAUAGAUGAUAUAGAGUACAGUAUAUACGUAUGCAUAUGAGAUGAAUAAUGUAGGGUAUAUAAACAUUAUAUUAAGUAGCAUUGUUUAAAGUGGCUAGUGAUAUAUUUUACAUCAAUUCCCAUUAUUAAAGUGGCUGGAGUUGAGUCAGUGUGUUGGCAGCAGCCACUCAAUGUUAGUGGUGGCUGUUUAACAGUCUGAUGGCCUUGAGAUAGAAGCUGUUUUUCAGUCUCUCGGUCCCAGCUUUGAUGCACCUGUACUGACCUCGCCUUCUGGAUGAUAGCGGGGUGAACAGGCUGUGGCUCGGGUGGUUGUUGUCCUUGAUGAUCUUUAUGGCCUUCCUGUACUAUCAGUAAUAGUGGUGGAGGUCCUGAAGUGUCUCUUAUAUACUGUAUCUCCCACCAUCUCUCCAUGUCAAUGCAAACCCUCCCUCUGAUUCCCUACUUAAACAGUGUCUGUCUGUCCUUAGAGGCCUCUAUGAGAACUGGAGCGAAGAGCAGCUCUCACCAGUUCAGCUUCAACACAAACCAUGUUACCUGCAUCUCUGCUGCUGCUGGCAGCUGUAUCCUGUGUCUGCUGUGAUAUUGAACUCAUCCAUUCUGGUCCAGUGGUUAGAAAACGAGGACAGUCUUUCAGCAUCUUCUGCAAAUUCUCUGGGUUUUGUAAAUAUUCUUACUGCCCUCGCUGGAUAUGACAAGCUGAAGGAAAAGCUUUGGAGUAUGUUGGUUAUACAUGUAUUAGUAGUACUUCUACUGUAGACUCACUGAAGAUCCCUUCUAGUUAUGGCAGCUCUAGCAGUACAGUGUUUGUAUAAUAGGACUCCUUAAAUUAAAUACAACAGAGAUGCUUCACCACAUCAAAUUUGUAAAUGAAUACAAGCCCAUCAUUGGUGGUGCUGGAAAUGUAUAUCUGAGUUGUUUGUCUAUUAUACUCCUGAUAUGACUUGAUGGUAUUCUAAUUGAUGUCUAUCAAACGUUCAAUGAACUUAUUCAUGAUCCAACACUUUAAUGUUUUAAUCAUUCACAUGAUGAAGGUGGCCAGUACCGAACAAGAAGAUCUAAGCUCUAUAGUAUCAACAAGACACAUAAUUAAGUGUUAUGAUAUAAAUACAAAUAUAUGCACCAAUAUAAAGACUGGGGACAAUUCACACUAUUGAGUUGUGAUACAAAAAAUAUUAGCAGAGUGUAAAGCUCAUUGUAUCACAGUCCUGUCUAACAUUAUCCUCCAGUAUAAGUCUUAUUACAUGGAGAACACACUAGAGUAUUUAUAGCUUGCACAGUUAUUACAUAUUGUUUCCCUACUGAUAUUUCCAUUAAUAAUAUAUAUCCUCUCCUUAUGCAAAUUUCACUGAGCCCCUCUUCCUUUCUCUCCCUCUCCCUCCUCCUUAUAUAAAAACCUCUGUAUUUGAGAGUCCUAGUACGUCCUUCUGAGUCCUGGAGAGUAGAGAAGAGCAGCUCCCACCUGUUGAACUUCAACACAAACCAUGUUCCCUGCAUCUCUGCUGCUCCUGCUGGCAGCUGUAUCCUGUGUCCACUGUCAGGUCGUACUCACACAGGCUGAACAGUCAGUCCAGGGGACCCCCAAAGGAUCCCUCAAACUCAGAUGUGCCUGUAGUGAAUUCACUCUAAGCAGCACUAAUAUGCACUGGAUCCACCAGGCACCUGGAAAAGUACUUGAAUUGAUCAUUUACUAUUAUUCGGACACUGACAAGAGCAAUGCCCCAGUAGUACAGGGCUGAUUCACAGCAUCGAAGGACAGCUCUAACAUCUAUCUCCACAUGAGCCAGUUGAAGCCAGAGGACUCUGCAGUGUAUUACUGUGCUAGAGACUCACUAUGGUUAAACUAAUGAGAAUAGUUGUACAAAAACCAUCUGGUAGAGAAAGGAAGGACGUGUACA